AUGAACGCUGGCGGCGUGCCUAAUACAUGCCAGUCGAGCGAACAGAUAAGGAGCUUGCUCCUUUGACGUUAGCGGCGGACGGGUGAGUAACACGUGGGUAACCUACCUAUAAGACUGGAAUAACUCCGGGAAACCGGGGCUAAUGCAGGAUAACAUGUUGAACCGCAUGGUUCUACAGUGAAAGGCGGCUUUGCUGUCACUUAUAGAUGGACCCGCGCCGUAUUAGCUAGUUGGUGAGGUAACGGCUCACCAAGGCAACGAUACGUAGCCGACCUGAGAGGGUGAUCGGCCACACUGGAACUGAGACACGGUCCAGACUCCUACGGGAGGCAGCAGUAGGGAAUCUUCCGCAAAGGGCGAAAGCCUGACGGAGCAACGCCGCGUGAGUGAUGAAGGUCUUCGGAUCGUAAAACUCUGUUAUUAGGGAAGAACAAAUGCGUAAGUAACUGUGCGCGUCUUGACGGUACCUAAUCAGAAAGCCACGGCUAACUACGUG
Molecule: ribosomal RNA, 496 nt
Filed under: uncultured bacterium
Lineage: Bacteria
Description: partial 16S ribosomal RNA
Rfam family: Bacterial small subunit ribosomal RNA
Source: RNAcentral